Molecule: long non-coding RNA, 398 nt
Filed under: Homo sapiens (human)
Lineage: Eukaryota; Metazoa; Chordata; Mammalia; Primates; Hominidae
Description: HSALNT0399267
Source: RNAcentral
CUCAGGACUCAGUGCACCAGAAUCUCAAGGACAUGGCAGGCUGCAGGACCCCAGUUGCACCAAACUGCCAUCCCCUCCUGCCUGGUUUCCCUUCUUCAUGAACCGAUCAAUGGGCCAUAGCCAGGUUGGGAUGCAUGUCUUCCACAGGAUGGGAACUACCUCCAGCUGAUCAGUUAACAGUUCAGUUGGGGACCUUUGAGUAAAAUAGAUGACCCUCUAUUAGGUGGUUGGGCCUCUUCCAAUCAGUUGACAGCCUACAGAGAACAAAGACUGAUCUCCCCCCAGCAAGAAGGAAUUCUCCAGCUGAAUGCCUUUGGACUGAAAUGACAACUCUUCCUUGAAUCUCCAGCCUGCCAGCCUACUCUGCAAAUUUUGGACUUACCAAGCCUCCAUGAUUA